CUAGAUUCCUUCUAGCUCUCCUUUUAGAUAAAUCCCAAGUGAUAUAUAAAAAACACUGCUGCAAAGAGCAGCUUCGGGCAGUAGCUGCUGUGAGGGGACUAUCUGUACCCUUAAUGAUAAUCCUCCAAGUUAGAAACAUCUGAAACUGUUAAGCACCAGCCCAACCCUAUUUAGAUAAAUAAAGCAAGCAUUUGAAAAUUUCCUUUUCUAUGUGUCAGUCAGAUCUGUGAGAGAUACUUUAGUUUAAACCUCUAAAAGGGAGACAACCCUUUCUUAUACAUUUUCCUUCUCUUCCCCUUGAAGAAAAUCUCUAUGAUAAUUCUGUGAAAAGAUCCUUUUAAAAAGAAGAAAGUCUUAACUCAGAGUUAUGUUUUCCUAUUUAUUUGGUUGUUGGUUUUUUUUUUUAGUACAGUAAGGGUAUCUGUAGAAUACAUCCAUGUCAGAUUGUCAGCAAUCUUUAAAUGUAAAAUGUAGUGACUUAUAGAGCUGAACAAGCUGGAAAGGGGGACAAAACAGAGGACGUAAAUAAUGUUUUCAAAUAUCCUCCCCAAACAACUGUUUUGCUUGCUUUUUGCUUGCUUUUUAAAGGGAAAUCCAACAAUGCAUGUUGGAUGUUCAUUAUGAAGAAAGCAAAACAGCAGUUUCUAUAAAUCACACUGUAGUUCACACUCAAGUGAGACUACAUAUGGCAAAGGAGGAGAGCAGCCCCAGCCAUCUGUCUGAGAAUGGUUUUGUGCAAGGCCAAGUUCUUGUGAAGACAAAAGAAAACUUUGGGGAGUCAUGUUUUCCUGGAAGAGAGCUGUGCACUCCUUUUUACACUUUGCUGAAGCUGGUCGUAGCCUCCGGAAAGCCUAAUCUACGUUCUUUACUGUUAUCCUGGGUACCUGCUGCUCUCCAACAAUGUGACUCAAGAACUUUUCUUUUUGCACAACAGAUUGGCCCUUUUCAUUGAUUGGCAGCCUUCUUCCUUCUCAUCUCUUCAGACUACACAUAGUAAUGGUGAGGAAAAAGCACCCAUUUGCAUGAUUUUGUGUAUCGGAUUGUCAGAUGAUUCAGACAGUAAAGGCCAGUAA
This 1073-nucleotide long non-coding RNA is filed under the name Coturnix japonica (Japanese quail). Its description in RNAcentral is "lncRNA (ENSCJPG00005017756.1)". The record is from RNAcentral. Lineage: Eukaryota; Metazoa; Chordata; Aves; Galliformes; Phasianidae.